RNAcentral lists this ribosomal RNA (402 nucleotides) under uncultured bacterium. Its description in RNAcentral is "bacterial SSU rRNA". It matches the Rfam family "Bacterial small subunit ribosomal RNA", at positions 355 to 774 of the family's 1533-position model. The record is from RNAcentral.
UGGGGAAUAUUGGACAAUGGGCGCAAGCCUGAUCCAGCCAUGCCGCGUGAGUGAUGAAGGCCCUAGGGUGGUAAAGCUCUUUCACCGGUGAAGAUAAUGACGGUAACCGGAGAAGAAGCCCCGGCUAACUUCGUGCCAGCAGCCGCGGUAAUACGAAGGGGGCUAGCGUUGUUCGGAAUUACUGGGCGUAAAGCGCACGUAGGCGGGUAUUUAAGUCAGGGGUGAAAUCCCGGAGCUCAACUCCGGAACUGCCUUUGAUACUGGGUACCUAGAGUAUGGAAGAGGUAAGUGGAAUUCCGAGUGUAGAGGUGAAAUUCGUAGAUAUUCGGAGGAACACCAGUGGCGAAGGCGGCUUAAUGGUCCAUUACUGACGCUGAGGAGCGAAAGCGUGGGGAGCAAACA